Molecule: long non-coding RNA, 1321 nt
Organism: Hemicordylus capensis (graceful crag lizard)
Lineage: Eukaryota; Metazoa; Chordata; Lepidosauria; Squamata; Cordylidae
Exons: 7
Source: RefSeq, a predicted model, not a curated record
UUCAGGCUUCACUGCGGCCUACACGGAGGCCUCCGUGGAAGCCCCGCCCACCCGCCAAUCAGCUGAGAGGCGGGAGAAAAGGAGCUCUUUGCAGCUUGCCUGCUGCUUCGAUUGCGGGCCAGCAGAACAAGCAGGAGAGACGGCGAAGAGGGCAAGUGGCUGAGAGGCUAUGGGGCUGGGCAGGGGGCAAUGGGGAGUCACAUGAGGUGCCUCUGGGGGGCCCCUCCAGGCAGUGGGGCCCCCAGACAACUGUCUCCCCUUGCCCUAUCAUUGUUACAUGCCUGAUCUGGUGGAAAGGAUGUAAGGCUCCCAUGCAGGUGACGGAGAGAGAAUCUAACUAGCAGCAGGCAGGGAAGAGGAUGUAGGAGAUCAAUACACCUCUGCAGAUUACAGAGGGAAGGGAGCUGAGAAUGGGAUCGGGAGAUGGUUUCCUCACUUCGCUGAAGGAAUCUCCACAUAAAGCAAGAUCAGCUGUCCUGGAUUGCCAGUCUCCAACCACAAGGACAGGGAGAAAGCAUAUGGGACUUGACAUGAAGUAGCUACAAUGGCUGGAAUGGAGCACCAGAAAAAUGGGCUCUGAAGGACUUGAGAGAAGAGACAAAAGGCUAGCAAAAUUCUGGUUUGGAGAGGCAGAGAGAAAGACAAGCAUAGAUUUUCCAGGCUUUUGCACCAGCCCCCCCCCCCAAUCUAAAGACUGAAGAAGGAGAAGAAGAUUGAAGAAGAAAGAGUAGACUCAGAGACCAGACCACAGAAGUGGGCAACUGGACACACAACAUGGGUGAAGCCCUAGACUGAGUUCCAUUGGUUACCCACACUUUGCUUCAGUGCUAGCAGCUGAUCUUCCCUCCCCACCAUUGAAGUAGCAGCCAUUGGCACGAAUGUACUAAGUUUGGGGAGAGGUCCAAGAAGGGGAUGGGAGCCAACACCUAAAUGGAUCCUGUCUCGAAGCCCUCAAAACAAGUAUCUGUCAGGAGUAAGAUUUACAAAGGGAGACAACCCUCUGAUACAUCACUGCUUGCAAAGAAGACCACUUCUCCUCAGAUCCAGACAGGUCAGUCCACAAUAAACCUGAAGUCAUCCAUGAUCUGAUUCCUGAUGAAGGAGCCAACCUGCAGCUUCAUCUUGCAUUAUCUCUACAGUGUUUUCUUCAAAUGAGAUAGUCACAGUUUUUAAACCUUGGAACAAUAAACACUACAUGUCUCUGCUUUUCAAAAUGUUUUAGAAUGGCUAAAAAAUUAUCUAUUUGUUGAGAAAAUAAGUUUUCAAAGAAUAAUAUUCCUGGACUUGAAUAGCAUCUGCUAUGACAAAAUCUUAUGUGUAU